This 253-nucleotide ribosomal RNA is filed under the name uncultured bacterium. Its description in RNAcentral is "partial 16S ribosomal RNA". It matches the Rfam family "Bacterial small subunit ribosomal RNA", at positions 524 to 776 of the family's 1533-position model. The record is from RNAcentral.
UACGUAGGGUGCAAGCGUUGUCCGGAAUUAUUGGGCGUAAAGAGCUCGUAGGCGGCUCGUCGCGUCGGCUGUGAAAACCCGGGGCUCAACCCCGGGCCUGCAGUCGAUACGGGCGGGCUAGAGUCCGGUAGGGGAGACUGGAAUUCCUGGUGUAGCGGUGAAAUGCGCAGAUAUCAGGAGGAACACCGGUGGCGAAGGCGGGUCUCUGGGCCGGAACUGACGCUAAGGAGCGAAAGCGUGGGGAGCGAACAGG